Molecule: small RNA, 2015 nt
Filed under: Pan troglodytes (chimpanzee)
Lineage: Eukaryota; Metazoa; Chordata; Mammalia; Primates; Hominidae
Description: processed transcript
Source: RNAcentral
AUCACACAAGCCAACAGACCUGGGGAGAGAAUACAACCUCUACACAGAACGAUCCAGUUAAACACAGCAUACAGUCCCAAGCUAGGUGCUGCAGACAAAAAGACGGUUAUGACUUGUCUCUUGAGAGGUCUGCUAUCUGAUGGCAGAGACAGACUUUUAAACAACUAACCAUAAAGCAGAAGGAUAAGUGCUGCUUUUAUAGAAGGUUAUAUAUAAAGUCUUAUGAACAUAUAAAAAGGAGGCCAAGUCAUUCUAUCUGGGCUGCUUAAGGCAUAUAUCUCAGAGAAAGGGACAUUUGAAUUAGACUUUGCAGACAAAUAGGAGUUUGCUAGGUGAGAAGCAGCAGGAGAGAGUUUUAGGCAGAGAGAACUGAAAGAAGUAGAAACAUGAAAAAUGCAUGGUGCUUGGAAAGUAGGGAGCAGCUUAAUGUGGCUGAAGCUGAGGAUACAUGGAUGGCUGCAUAUAGAAGCUUCCUCUUCCCGGACCUGGCCAAGGAGCUGCAAAAUCAUGAUUCUAAUAUGAUGCAGAAUAAGAAGUGUUCUAGUCCCACAGAUCAAAGGGCUGAUUGUUGUGACAUUGGCCGUAUGCUGGAUGCCCAACCAGAUUCGGAGGAUCAUGGCUGCGGCCAAACCCAAGCACGACUGGACGAGGUCCUACUUCCGGGCGUACAUGAUCCUCCUCCCCUUCUCGGAGACGUUUUUCUACCUCAGCUCGGUCAUCAACCCGCUCCUGUACACGGUGUCCUCGCAGCAGUUUCGGCGGGUGUUCGUGCAGGUGCUGUGCUGCCGCCUGUCGCUGCAGCACGCCAACCACGAGAAGCGCCUGCGCGUACAUGCGCACUCCACCACCGACAGCGCCCGCUUUGUGCAGCGCCCGCUGCUCUUCGCGUCCCGGCGCCAGUCCUCUGCAAGGAGAACUGAGAAGGUUUUCUUAAGCACUUUUCAGAGCGAGGCCAAGCCCCAGUGUAAGUCCCAGUCAUUGAGUCUCGAGUCACUAGAGCCCAACUCAGGCGCGAAACCAGCCAAUUCUGCUGCAGAGAAUGGUUUUCAGGAGCAUGAAGUUUGAAUGUCAAGCGAGGGAGCCUUGAGUGGGAACUGGCCCUCCAGCCCUAAGAAAACGUCACUCUCACUCUGCGGUCUCAAACUAUGCCCCCAUCAGGGAUGGAAUGGACACUGGAGGCUUUACAAAAGGCAGAUGCCUACCUCAGUGACUUCUAAGGACUGACUCUGCCAGCCUGGCCUUGACUCUGGUUACACAGACACGGGGGUGAACUUUCACUCCACCUCCUUCCUUCAAGUACAUACUGAAAAUUCAGUCAGACUGAAUUUAUUCAGAAUGCUUUACCGAGCUCUUUCAUUAUUUGCACAGGAACAAAAGAGAACACGGACUCCCGCUCCCUACCCAGAAUAAAAGGACACCCAGAAGAAACUCACUCAGGGAGGUGUGGGGGGUUGGGGGCGAGGGCUGGAGGAGCAGUGCAGGAGGGGGUGGCAUCUCCUUCAGCUUCAGCAGUGUGCCGAGAAGAGGGCUAAUUUGAGGAACAGGAUGGUGGUGGGGAGCCCUGGCCUGAGGGCCGAGGCAGAACUUCCCCUUUUCUUGGGCCUUGGCCCGUUACAAAGAGGGGUGUUGCAGCAGCUGAUGCAAACUGAGUUCAGUUUCCCUGGGGAGCAGAAGGACUGGUACCCGGCAGAGGCGAUGAGACAGGCCGCUGAUGAUGCACAGGACUUGCGGUACAUGAUCCCUGUAACACAGACCCAAAGGAGCUGAGUUAACGUGCACCGGCAAAAGAAUAGCUGGCCCUCUCAGCCCAAAUCCAAACGGACAGCUCUUCCUUACUCCUCCCACAGCCCAGAGACUAGGUGAGGUCAGGGAAGUGCUUGGGAUUGUCUCAUUGAUAUUCAAGAUAGAUGGUGAAAGAGACAGGCACUAUUUCAUUAGUUUUAACAAAACUGUUCCAAAAGCGAUUUGAGAUGCCAAUACCUGUGAAUACCUGUUAAUAAAGAGCUGUUAAACAG